AGAUCACUUUCUGAUCUGCUGGGUUGCUUUUACCCUCCUGGUGGGAGAGGUGCAAAUUAAAGCUAACAACAACCAGCUGCGCCCGCGCACUCAGUCUCAGCAACCACGAGUGAAGACCAACUUUAUUCUGGUGACAUUUACUUUCUUUUCACUGCUUAUUCUGAAAUGUGAAACCCUGGCUGUUUCAAAACUAUUUCGGGACACUGUGAAAAUCAAAAACGCCACCUUGAUUUGCUGUGAGGAGUUCAUGUCUCUCUAUAUAUCAAAGAUCAAAUUCACAGAUCUUUUUGAUGGCCAUGUACGUUUAUGUUGCGUCCUGGGGAUGUUUUGUGAGAAGACGAGUAAGAUAAACCCAUUGUAUAUUCUUCUAUAAUAGCAAAAGGACUUCUAUUUUCCAAACUUUUCUUUAACUGAACAUAAAUAUACCACAAAUCUAACAAUUAUCAUUGAGGCAUGUGCCGGGCAGUGGCUGAGUUGAGUCAGAAAAGUGCUGAGUCUUUGCCUCUAAUCUGUGAAAGGAAUGAAAGAAGCAUCAUCAAAGCAGUUUCUCUGCAGCAAAGAUGGCUUCAACAUUACCAUACACAAGCAUGCAACAAUGCCCCCCCUGAAUCUGGAUACAGUCUGGAUCCCUUCUGGCCAAAAUCCCAACUGUAAACCCAAGAAAAGAUCAGCUGAUGGCAUCACUUUCAACUUUCUGUUCAGUGACUGUGGCACUCGGUCUAUGUAGCUGAGCGUGGCCAGCCCGUGUAUGUGGAACUGUUUGCAGUCAAACAUGAGAACAGGGACUUGGUUCUGCUGCUGGAGGACAGCUGGGCUACACUGACUGAGGACUCAGAUGGCCCACAAAGAUGGAAACUGCUGCUGGUGACAGCCACAAAACAGUUAUGCUGCAAGUUUCCAGUAGCCUACAGAACUAGGAUGAUCCUCCAUUUACAACUGGUGUAUUUCCACUGCAAUGUAGAGAUCUGUAAGGGGCCAGAGUGCCUGCAGCCUUGCAGUAGUUGGAAAUCGACUUUUAGACCGUUCAUCUUUUGUCUUAUAAAUCUAAAAAUAACACUGAUCUCACACGUUAACAUGUAACACUGUAAACAAAAGAUUGUUUUUCUUUGUUUUGGGGGAGUGCAUAAAUCAGGAAGACCUCCUGGAUCACUAUAUGACAAUCAAAUCAACCAAGGACUGUACAGUUUGUAAUGAAUAUUAAAUUGUACCUCCCAAAAGACGUUUUCCUUAUAAUAUUUAAUCACAUAUUUAAUUCUUCUCCAAUCACUGUACAGC
Molecule: long non-coding RNA, 1275 nt
Organism: Oreochromis aureus
Lineage: Eukaryota; Metazoa; Chordata; Actinopteri; Cichliformes; Cichlidae
Exons: 5
Source: RefSeq, a predicted model, not a curated record